Molecule: non-coding RNA, 136 nt
Organism: Pseudonaja textilis
Lineage: Eukaryota; Metazoa; Chordata; Lepidosauria; Squamata; Elapidae
Source: RefSeq, a predicted model, not a curated record
ACAUCCUGCCCUUGCCAUAGAUCAACCACAGGUGCAACCAAUGCUAUUUCUUUCACAUAAGGGGACUUGGAACCUGCCUGGAAGGAAUCCAUUUCGUCCAGAAUCCACUAUAGUUUCAGAACAUUUCAUCUUAUAU